UGUGGCUCAGUGACAGAGUGCUUGCCUUACAAGCAUGAGGCACUGGGUUUGAUACUCAGCA
RNAcentral lists this transfer RNA (61 nucleotides) under Ictidomys tridecemlineatus (thirteen-lined ground squirrel). Its description in RNAcentral is "Spermophilus tridecemlineatus (thirteen-lined ground squirrel) tRNA". It matches the Rfam family "tRNA", at positions 6 to 65 of the family's 71-position model. Rfam says of the family: Transfer RNA (tRNA) molecules are approximately 80 nucleotides in length. Lineage: Eukaryota; Metazoa; Chordata; Mammalia; Rodentia; Sciuridae. The record is from Rfam by way of RNAcentral.